GUGGAGUUCUACUGUCAGUUUUCUACUGUCGCUGGAGUUCUACUGUCGCAUCCAAAGAAAUUUUUAAAAAUUAAUUAAAAUAUUGGGGUUCUAUUGUCGGUGGAGUUCUUCUGUUUUUGGAGUUCUACUGUCAGCAACCCCAAUAUAGGAUAGCGCAACGUUAGUCUACAGCACCUAGCGGCCUGACAAGGAAACGUGAAAGGGUCGUGCAGCCUACCGUCAACUAUUUUGUUCAAAAUCAUUAAUUGUAUUUUACUGAAUGUGCCAUGAAAAUGAUACAGGAUUCAUCAUUAUCGGCUGUUUGUAUUGGACUUGCUAGAUAACCAAUCCAGCAUUAACUAAUCUCUCAUUCCUACUUCUUUUGGGAACCUUGGAUAGCUGAUCGAUGGUUUCAUGUGUUCGUCUAAUUACACAUUUCUAAAUUGGCAUGGCAGACUUUAUGAGAAGUCACGUCCUUUCAAAAAAAAAAAGGACAAUGACUAUACAGACAGCAAGGUUCCUUGUUUGCUAACCAUUGGCUGCUACCCUUGAAUCUCCCUUUUUACUUCCUUACAAGGGCCCUCUUCAUUUGAGGGUAAUCCUACUAGCAAUCCUUUGAUACUUGUCAUGGACUUUAUCCACUGGUGAAAAUCAACAAUAGAAUGCUGUAACUCAAGACUUAUAAAUUGUGUAGUUAGCUAAAUUACAAGUGCAUAUCUGGGCUCCCUUCAUUUCUGUGGCCCCGUUUCCCUAAUUGACCACUAACCAACGCUCGCCGGUGGUCACUCACCCGCUGUGAAACCAGGAG
RNAcentral lists this long non-coding RNA (787 nucleotides) under Daphnia pulex (common water flea). RNAcentral's name for it is "uncharacterized LOC124195497, transcript variant X1". Lineage: Eukaryota; Metazoa; Arthropoda; Branchiopoda; Diplostraca; Daphniidae. The record is from RNAcentral.